RNAcentral lists this ribosomal RNA (470 nucleotides) under uncultured bacterium. Its description in RNAcentral is "bacterial SSU rRNA". It matches the Rfam family "Bacterial small subunit ribosomal RNA", at positions 29 to 507 of the family's 1533-position model. The record is from RNAcentral.
AACGAACGCUGGCGGCAUGCCUAACACAUGCAAGUCGAACGAAGCCCCCGAUUUCGGUUGGUGGGUUAGUGGCGCACGGGUGCGUAACGCGUGGGAAUUUGCCCCUCGGUUUGGAAUAACAGUUAGAAAUGACUGCUAAUACCGGAUAAUGACGUAAGUCCAAAGAUUUAUUGCCGAGGGAUGAGCCCGCGUAGGAUUAGCUAGUUGGUGAGGUAAAAGCUCACCAAGGCGACGAUCCUUAGCUGGUUUGAGAGGAUGAUCAGCCCCACUGGGACUGAGACACGGCCCCGACUCCUACGGGAGGCAGCAGUGGGGAAUUUUGGACAAUGGGCGAAAGCCUGAUCCAGCAAUGCCGCGUGCAGGAUGAAGGCCUUCGGGUUGUAAACUGCUUUUGUACGGAACGAAAAGUCUCGGGAUAAUACCCUGGGACCCUGACGGUACCGUAAGAAUAAGCACCGGCUAACUACGUG